UACGAAGGGGGCUAGCGUUGCUCGGAAUCACUGGGCGUAAAGGGUGCGUAGGCGGAUCUUUAAGUCAGGGGUGAAAUUCUGGAGCUCAACUCCAGAACUGCCUUUGAUACUGAGGAUCUCGAGUUCGGGAGAGGUGAGUGGAACUGCGAGUGUAGAGGUGAAAUUCGUAGAUAUUCGCAAGAACACCAGUGGCGAAGGCGGCUCACUGGCCCGAUACUGACGCUGAGGCACGAAAGCGUGGGGAGCAAACAGG
This 253-nucleotide ribosomal RNA is filed under the name uncultured bacterium. Its description in RNAcentral is "partial 16S ribosomal RNA". It matches the Rfam family "Bacterial small subunit ribosomal RNA", at positions 524 to 776 of the family's 1533-position model. The record is from RNAcentral.